This 751-nucleotide long non-coding RNA is filed under the name Linum usitatissimum (flax). Its description in RNAcentral is "long non-coding RNA (LUSI_LNC004233)". Lineage: Eukaryota; Viridiplantae; Streptophyta; Magnoliopsida; Malpighiales; Linaceae. The record is from RNAcentral.
CUCAUGCUCCAUAAACAUAAAAUAAAGCUCAUCAGCUAAAGCAAUCCUAAUUUCAGGCUAAUUGAACGUUCAAGUUUUUAAACUUCUUCCCUUCCGAAUUCCCACUGAGUUGCAAACUCAAAAUAGUUUGACCAUCUUUUCUUUGAUCUAACCUUAGUACAUGCUUCCAUGUGGGAUUUUAAAGAAGACAUACCAUUUUUUUGUGAACUGGCUACAAGAAUAGUAUGGUAGAUUUUCUCUCAUUCUUUAUUGACAAAUUGUUUCAGAAUGGUCCAUACAAAAGGAGCUGUUGGGGGUUAGAGGCUCUAGUUGUGGUUGUGAAUUAGAUGCAAUAAAUGAUGUAGAAGUCAGCUAAGUUAUAGUAGAAGUUGGAGCUGUUGGAGCUAUAGUUGGAUUUGGAGUCUCCAAAAAUUCUUGAAAGGUAAACGAGCUUCCAUAGUAUUUCAAGGCAAUUGAAAUGACUUCUUACGUGUCUUCGGUUGUAUCUCUUCCUCUUUUUGUUUCCUAAAUCACAAUAAUAUAAUUAUCUAUUAAUCAAUAAGAACAAACUUGAUAUCUUUUUAGUUAGUAAAUGAAAAGCAUACCUCUUUAGUCCUUACUUACAUUGUCCAGAAGGGGAAUUUCAAAACAACUCGAUCAACUGAGAGCAGGGGAGCUGGACGGAGAGUCGACGGAAUAGAUCAAGCGGAGGUGGAGACAGAGCAAGGACAUCAGAGGCGAAGAAUGGACGGUGAUGCAGAGCAAGGACGGU